Molecule: ribosomal RNA, 384 nt
Filed under: uncultured prokaryote
Description: partial 16S ribosomal RNA
Source: RNAcentral
CCCUAUGGGGUGCAGCAGGCAGAGGAGGCCCUGAAGCAGCACGAGCGCGACCUCAAGGACAAGACGCACGAGCUCGAGGAGCUCAAUGCGGCGCUGCGCGUCCUGCUCAAGCGAAGGGAGGAGGACAAGCUGGAGUUGGAGAACAAUGUCAUCUCCAACCUCAAGAAGCUCGUCAUCCCCUAUAUCGAAAAGAUCAAGAAAGGCCGUCUCGAGGGAAACGACCUCGUGAGCCUCAACGUCAUCGAGUCCAACCUGAAGGACAUCGCCUCACCCUUCGCGAGCAAGCUCUCGUCGGAGUACCUGAGCCUCACGCCCAAGGAGCUGCAGGUGGCCGACCUGAUCAAGGAGGGAAAGACAACCAAGGAAAUCGCAGAGUUCAUGAGC